UUAUAAAUAUAACAAUUGAUGAAACCUCUUAAGAACAGUUCCGGUUUCCCUGUUUUCCUGACUUACAUCUGGCGGUCAUUCUAUAUAUGCUCCUGUCUUGCAUUUUAAAGAGAACUGAAGGCGCCGCGGGAAGAAGUUAGAGGCCAGACAGAGAGUAGAAAGUGGUGGUCGUCGCCGGCGGUCCGUUAGUUCAUAGGCUAGAGAGCCACCGCCACCGGCGGUGUGCGUCGGUCCAAUUCCACCUCAUCCCGUCCUUUUACAGUAAAUAACGCCGUUAGGUAACGUCAGUUCGUGGUCUUCACAUCAGAUACCCUGAUCCAAUUCCACUGCCUCCUGUCCUCCACUUCCUCUCUCUUCUCUCUGUUAAGAAACGCGCUCCCUUCAAUUUCGAUUCCGUCCAACCCUCAGCGGAAUCCACGCUUGAUGCUUGUCGUCUGAACUUAGGCUCUGACAUGUACGUUUCAGCAAUUAGGACUCAGAUUUCAAUUAGUUAUGGGUAUAAGGAAGACAAGAGAGAAACACGAGUAAAAGGGAAAAAGGGGCCGGCCGCCAAUCUUUAUGCAGAGGCGCGCUGGCAAUGACAUCACAAUCCGGACCGUACACUAUGACAACUCGCUGACCAGAGGACGAGGGUUCUAUUAGUGAUGUCGGUUCGUUCGGUGGUACAAGCGACAAUGGUUCUAUUCCCAUGGUCCAGGUGUUGUACGAGGUUGACUGCCUGCGGAAACUGGAAUGAGAGUUUUGGUCGGUUACCGUAUACCAUAGCCGAUCUGGCUUGAAGACGAUGUCACCUGCGACAUGCAACGACCGCACAGUUAUGGUACACAACGACGGCGGCGACUGUUGUUGAUUUCCCACGACAUCUCAAGCCGAUCUAGCCAAACCAGGUGACGGACAACCAGGUGACGAACAAGGUUAAUAGUUAAGGGAUGAUGGAAUGAAGAUAUGACAAAAUGCACCUGAUUGGCUAAUUAAUCUAUUUAUUUUCUUCAUUAAUUAAUCCUGGUGAAAUAAUAAAUGUGGAUUAGUUGAUCAUAUGAUGCAUUCCCGCUUCAAGUCAAUAAAGUUAGACGUUUGAAUGAAAUUACAAUACAUAUUUAUAAUAUCUCACCAUAUCAAAAUAUUUUCCAUUGUGAUCUGUUAGUCACAGUUUUUUUUCUCCCCAGUCAUUUAAAAACUUCACAGGUUCAUAUUUGCAGUACUCCAAGCCUGCUUAAUUUAAGAAUAAUGAGCUUAGU
Molecule: long non-coding RNA, 1238 nt
Filed under: Helianthus annuus (common sunflower)
Lineage: Eukaryota; Viridiplantae; Streptophyta; Magnoliopsida; Asterales; Asteraceae
Source: RNAcentral